CUCUGGUGAGCCUCAGUCACUCCUGACCUGUAUGGGCACCAAGGUCCUUUUCUGGGUGGGCUUCUGUCUCCUGGGAGCAGGUAAUUACUCAGAACAAGCAGGUUCAUUGUAUGUGUGUGGGUGUAUAUGUGUGUAUUCACAUGUAUUAUGUGUGUGCGAGCGUGCAUGUUGACUAUAAGAUUUUUCUCAUUCUUUUCCCAUCUUCUUUCUCCACAGACCACACCCAUGCUGGAGUCUCCCAGUCCCCCAGGCACAGGGUCACAAAGACAGGAGAGAACAUAGCUCUCAGGUGUGAUCCAGUUCCUGGACACGUUAGCCUUUACUGGUACCGACAGACCCUGGGGCAAGGCCUGGAGUUCUUGAUGUCUUUCCAGUAUGAACGUGCAGCAGAUGAGUCAGGGAUGCCUAGUGAGCGGUUCUCUGCUGAGAGGCCACAGGGAUCCUUCUCCACUCUGGAGAUUAAGCUCACAGAGCCCGGGGACUCGGCUGUGUACCUCUGUGCCAGCAGCUCAGCCACAGUGUGGCACAGACUCCUCUGUCCUGCUCACAAACCU
This 554-nucleotide long non-coding RNA is filed under the name Marmota monax (woodchuck). Lineage: Eukaryota; Metazoa; Chordata; Mammalia; Rodentia; Sciuridae. The record is from RNAcentral.